UGUUUGACUUCCGGCCUGUCGAGAUGAGUCGCUUAUUCAGGGAGGGAGGAGAUGUUUCUUAAUAUGGGUGGAAGUGUUAAAAUUUGUCAAUUACAUUUAGUCAGUUACAUUUAGCAAAUGCAAACGCUACUACAGCAAGGCGUUUGUGAGAUAAAUGAAUGAAGAAAUUUAAAACAACUUUUUCCACAUUGCAUUAGAACUACAAAGCUGACGCUGGAUUGCUAAAUGAGUUUAUUUUCAUUGAAAUAGCAUGGCAUGUUAGCUAGCUAGCCAUAGUUUUCUGUCUAGACUCUAGCCUGUAACUAAUGGUUGUUACGUUGUGGAACAGAGCAAUAGUUAUUUGUACUUGUCAUUUGGUUGAGACUAACGUUAGUUAGAAAAUAAUUGUUUACUUUGUGUAUAUUUGUUGUGUAAUUGGUUGGCUUUGCUAGUUAGCAAGCUGAGAUUGAUUUGCUCAAAUUGGCUAACUUAGCUAUUGGCUAAUUUUUUAAGAGAACAGGCUAGCUCCCUGCAGAAUCCAGAGUAGAGAAUGUGGGAUAAGAUCUGUCUGUUGCAGUGCCCAGACGAGCCACAACAUCAUAAUCAAGUACUCAAGCAUCCGCAGACCACCGAGGAGGAGGAACAUGUAUAGAAAAUGAAGUACUAGCUCGCUAAAUGAGCUGCUUUUCCUGAAAAUGUGUAUUUGAUAAAGCUACACUCUUAGAAGACAAUGUGCUAUUGCGACCUGGAAUGAAACCCCAAAAUGGUUCUACCUGGAACCAAAAAGGGUUAUACUAUGGGGACAGCUGAAGAACCCUUUUUUUCUAAGUGUAUCUAGUUCUUCUAUUGCAAUGUCCAUGUUACAGCCACAAGUUGAUGAUCAGGUAGUCAAGCACCUGAAGAUCAGCGGGGAGGAGAAAAGCCUGCCAUGGAUGAGCAAGCUAGAACAAUAACAACUAGCUAUAUCAGAUAAACAUGUUCAGGAAAAGCAGGGAGGGAGAGAGCUAGUAGUAGUAACAUUAUUAUUAUUUGAAACCUCACAUGCUCAUAAUCUGUAUCUGUGUUAUAUUUAAGCAAUAAGGCACCUCGGGUUUGUGGUGUAUGGACAAUAUAUCACGGCUAAGGGCUGUUCUUAUGCACAAUGAAAUGCCAAGUGCCUGGAUACAGCCCUUAGCCCUGCUAUAUUGGCCAUAUACCACAAACCCCUGAGGUGCCUUAUUUCUAUUAAAAACCUGUUUACAAACGUAAUUACAACAGUAAACAAGUAAUUUUGACUCAUACCUGUGGUAUACGGUCUGAUAUAUAUAUACCAUGGCUUGCUACAGUAUCUGUCUCAUGUUGUACUGAUCAUCAACAUGAACAAGACCUGAAUUCUAUUGAAUUGUCAACUGGUCUAAAUUCUUAUUAGAAAGAUGUUGCUGUUCAGAAUGACAUGUGUAUGACUGUUGGAUGUUCACAGGAAUCUCCAAAUGCCAUGUUGAACGAGCACCACGGAUGAAAGAGGCGGAGGAAAACAGACACAUCUUCACCAAGUCAUACAAUGUUUACUUCAUGAACAACUGUUACAUCAGAAAUAAAUACAAUAUUUUAGUUUAUUCUGUUUGUUUUUUUGUUAUGCUGGAAGUGAG
This is a long non-coding RNA of Oncorhynchus kisutch (coho salmon), 1607 nucleotides long. RefSeq lists it as uncharacterized. The transcript has 2 exons. The record is from RefSeq and is a predicted model, not a curated record. NCBI's taxonomy places the organism in Eukaryota, Metazoa, Chordata, Actinopteri, Salmoniformes, Salmonidae.